Molecule: ribosomal RNA, 253 nt
Filed under: uncultured bacterium
Lineage: Bacteria
Description: partial 16S ribosomal RNA
Rfam family: Bacterial small subunit ribosomal RNA
Source: RNAcentral
UACAGAGGGUGCAAGCGUUAAUCGGAAUUACUGGGCGUAAAGCGUGCGCAGGCGGUGAUGUAAGACAGGUGUGAAAUCCCCGGGCUUAACCUGGGAACUGCAUUUGUGACUGCAUCGCUGGAGUGCGGCAGAGGGGGAUGGAAUUCCGCGUGUAGCAGUGAAAUGCGUAGAUAUGCGGAGGAACACCGGUGGCGAAGGCGGCAUCCUGGACCAUUACUGACACUGAAAAGCGAAAGCCAGGGGAGCAAACGGG